UCCGCGGUAGCUCAAUGGUAGAGCAAACGACUGUUAAUCGUUUGGUUGUAGGUUCGAGUCCUACCCGCGGAG
This 72-nucleotide transfer RNA is filed under the name Candidatus Nealsoniibacteriota bacterium. RNAcentral's name for it is "Candidatus Nealsonbacteria bacterium tRNA-Asn". It matches the Rfam family "tRNA". Rfam says of the family: Transfer RNA (tRNA) molecules are approximately 80 nucleotides in length. Their secondary structure includes four short double-helical elements and three loops (D, anti-codon, and T loops). Lineage: Bacteria; Candidatus Nealsoniibacteriota. The record is from RNAcentral.